This 1202-nucleotide long non-coding RNA is filed under the name Salmo trutta (river trout). Its description in RNAcentral is "lncRNA (ENSSTUG00000020119.1)". The stretch from base 84 to 298 matches the Rfam family "SOX2 overlapping transcript exon 1". The record is from RNAcentral. Lineage: Eukaryota; Metazoa; Chordata; Actinopteri; Salmoniformes; Salmonidae.
AAAAUGUUGAAUAUCAACAAUGAGUUUCAGUGCUGUAUUGUUGAGUUUUGUAUGAACUAAUCUUGCCUCACUAAAAAAGACCUACAGCUUGGACAAAAGUCUAUAGCCAGUGCAUUCCUAGCUCCCCUUGCACUAAGGCAGGCUGAGGCAGAGGGGAAGACAUUUUAGUCUUGUGCUCUUCUAGUUGCUAAAGCGCUGGGCUGCCGGGCUGUGGGAGUCAUGAGGCGGCCCUGCUUCACUCGAUAUGGACUCAGGGGGAGAGAACCAUGGAUGUGCAGGUCUAGGCCCUUAGAGCAGUGAGGGGGAAAGGGGUAACGAGCGAAACACCAGCGUUCAGCGAGCAGCUUGAGCGGCGGUACGCUGAAGUAAGAGCACUGGCUUUUGGAAAAACCUGCAGACUACGGGGCGAGUAAAGAGAGAGAGACAGCCUACCGCUGUUUCGGUCGAGCAGAGAGCGGGAUCUCCGGCGGCUGAAGAGUGGUUCUUGAAUCGGCCAGAUACUGUUCCAUCCUCUUUUCUGCCAAUCAAGCAAAGAUGAGGACAACACCCAAACUGGCACGAUAACAGCGCCGUAUUCGAAGAGGACCCAAUUGUUCCAAAAGGCCUUGAUUUUGCUCCGCCGCGGUCCGCGCGGAGGCUGCCGCAGCUGUGGACAGCAACAGGUGUUUUACCUACCAUGGUUGUGAUAAUUGGAUUUUCUGGACACCUGUAUGAGUGCAGUAUAUCCAGCGGAUUAUAACCAGGGAGAGGGUGUCCUUCUGAUGUUCUUGAUGCACAUCCAAGGGUACUCGUCCGUUGAUGGGUGAUGGAGAUGGAGUUCCUUCUGCUAUAACUCUGGCCUCCAAGAACAGCUUCAAAGACAGGACCUAAGGAGAGAUCAGUCACGCAAAACACAUCUACACACCACUGCUUCUGCUGCAAAUGUGAGGGCAUGAUCUGUCUCUGUGAAGACAAAACUUGCACCUUGUAAAAUUCUCAGAACAUGGUUCAUUUUGAAACUGUUACAACUGAAACAACAAAACUUUUUACCAAUAGAGGUUACGCUGCUUAUGAUAUGAACUAUAUCGUCCGUUGAUGUAUUGGAUUUCAUGAUGUUACAUAUCUUCAAUCUGUGAUCAUAUUAAAUCAAUGAAAUCAUGGUGUGCUGUGUCUUCGGUAGAAACACACUGAGUUUUCAAAACAUUAAUAAUAUUGAGCUGUAC